UUCCAUUCAUUUGCUUUACUCGUGUAUAUCGUGGCAAACCAAAGAAGCCAAACACAGUACAAAGAGAAAAACACUCACCAAUGCUUAGCACUGAAGAGAAGGAAGAAACGAAAAUUCUCGAGCAAUGCAAGGCCUCUCAACCCCCAAGGCAGUCAACAUUCCUCCCAGCUUCACAGCAACCACAAACUUACUUCAUACAACGGCCACAUCUUGACUGGAACCAACAGAGAAAGCAUUACAGAGAAAUGGCCUUCUAAGGGACCCCGCAGAAUCCCACUGCUGACCAGAAGGGCAGCUGUCAGGCCAUGGCUUCCCCUCGUCCCACACAGCCAUCUUUUACUUGACAUGGGACAUUCUUACCGUCACAUCGCCACGGCCUUACGAUGGCAUGAGCCACCUCCCUGCCAACCGCUAGAAAUACGGGAACCCUGACAACAG
RNAcentral lists this long non-coding RNA (438 nucleotides) under Gallus gallus (chicken). RNAcentral's name for it is "lncRNA (ENSGALG00010028633.1)". The record is from RNAcentral. Lineage: Eukaryota; Metazoa; Chordata; Aves; Galliformes; Phasianidae.